AUCGAUGAAGAACGCAGCGAAAUGCGAUAAGUAAUGUGAAUUGCAGAAUUCAGUGAAUCAUCGAAUCUUUGAACGCACCUUGCACUCCUUGGUAUUCCGAGGAGUAUGCCUGUUUGAGUGUCAUGAAAUUAUCAACUUCAUAGUUUUAUUACUUCGAAGCUUGGACUUGGAAGCUGCUGGCUUUGUUCGGCUCUUCUUAAAUAUAUUAGCUGCUUGUCCCGUGGGUUGGCUCAGAGUGUGAUAAUUAUCUGCACUUGGUGGCUGCCUGCAAGGAUGUGGCUUCUAAUCGUCUUCGGACAAUUUCUUAAGAUCUGACCUCAAAUCAGGUAGGACUACCCGCUGAACUUAAGCAUAUCAAUAAGCGGAGGAAAAGAAACUAACAAGGAUUCCCCUAGUAACGGCGAGUGAAGCGGGAAAAGCUCAAAUUUAAAAUCUGGCUGUCUUAGGCGGUCCGAGUUGUAAUCUGGAGAAGUGUUUUCUACGCUGGACCGUGUACAAGUCUCUUGGAAUAGAGCGUCAUAGAGGGUGAGAAUCCCGUCUUUGACACGGACUACCAGGGUUAUAUGAUACACUCUCGAAGAGUCGAGUUGUUUGGGAAUGCAGCUCAAAAUGGGUGGUAAAUUCCAUCUAAAGCUAAAUAUAGGCGAGAGACCGAUAGCGAACAAGUACCGUGAGGGAAAGAUGAAAAGCACUUUGGAAAGAGAGUUAAACAGUACGUGAAAUUGUUGAAAGGGAAACGCUUGAAGUCAGUCGCGUUAGUUGAGACUCAGCCUUGCUUUUGCUUGGUGCAUUUCUUAGCUGACGGGUCAACAUCAAUUUUGAUCAUUGGAAAAAGACCUUGGGAAUGUGGCACCUUCGGGUGUGUUAUAGCCCUUGGUUGUAUGCAAUGGUUGGGAUUGAGGACCGCAGUGCGCCUUUAUGGUCGGGGUUCGCCCUCGUUCGCACUUAGGAUGUUGGCAUAAUGGCUUUAAGCGACCCGUCUUGAAACACGG
Molecule: ribosomal RNA, 992 nt
Filed under: uncultured fungus
Lineage: Eukaryota; Fungi
Description: eukaryotic LSU rRNA
Rfam family: Eukaryotic large subunit ribosomal RNA (bases 313-992)
Source: RNAcentral